Long non-coding RNA from Antechinus flavipes (yellow-footed antechinus), 1864 nucleotides. RefSeq lists it as uncharacterized. NCBI's taxonomy places the organism in Eukaryota, Metazoa, Chordata, Mammalia, Dasyuromorphia, Dasyuridae. The record is from RefSeq and is a predicted model, not a curated record. The transcript is spliced from 2 exons.
CCUUCUCCCCCUGCAAGGACUUUAUUAAUGGGGGGAUGUGUGAGCACCCCCCCUUCUCCCCCUGCAGGGGCUUUAGCUGGAGGGAGGCAGCCCCCCCCCUUCUCCAAUGAGGCCUCAGCUUCCAAAGCCUUUCAUCCCUUUGACAUUUUCAUGCAUUCAGUGUCCACGUCCCCCCCCCCCCCUCCAGAAAAGGGAAGCAGAUUUCCGCACUUCCCAGAGACCCUUGGGCUAACUCUGGUUCAGGCCAGUGGUGCUGGAAUGGAGCCUUUAGCCCCGGGCCAGGGGCGCCCUUCUGGGGGCAGCAGGCUCUGGGUCCCUCAGAACCCCAGAGCUGACAGGAGCGACAGAGAAGUCCCGACCUAAUUUCCACCACAGACUGCGGACUCACUGGCAACCCAAGGCCCCUCGGAAGUGCUCGCAGGCCCGUUCCCGAGGGAGCCCCGAGUCUGUGGGGGGCAUGUCCCGGGCCAGGGGCCCUAAAGGUUAUCUCCACACCGCUGAGCCCCGCCCUCAGGGUGCGGGUGAAGCCGAGACCUCCGGUGCAAUAAGCAGACGCUUCCCCAAAGAGAAUGAGGGGCAGGGGCGGGAGCCCAGAGCUCGGUCCUGCGCUUUCUGCUGCCACCGGGCCUGGGCGGGCCGGGCCGGCAGAAGCCUCCCCAGCAGGGCCGCCGACCUCGGCGGUGUGUGCUGGGACUCGGCCAUCUCUCAUUCCGAGACCAUCUGCGAUGGGGGGCUCGCUAUCCGUCAGGGCCUCUCUAGUGGGGAGCUGUUUCCCUCCUCAUGGGAGACUGACACUGUAGCUUCCACUCGGCUUUUCUUGGGGAGGGGGCUUUGAAGCCGCAGUCGAGUCCUCCCGCCUCCCUAGCUUCAGUCCCCCAGUUCCCACAACCACUAAGAUUUUUUUUUCAUUUUUCUGGUUGAUAUACGUGUGCCAACUUUUAAAAUGCACAUUUCUUUCUGAAUCACGUUGAGGGAGAAAAAGGCACAGAAACAAGUGAACGCGGCGGGUGCUGAUUCAUGUCCCCUCUCGGCAGCCUCCCUCUGGAGGCAGAUGGCGCUUUCUGCCCAAAGUCGGCGUCUUGGGAGCCACGACCGCUCGCUCGGCCGCCCGGCAGCUUGGGGCUGGCCCUGGCCACCCGGUCCCUCGCCGCCCGGGCUCUCCCAGGGAGAAGCUCCCGCGGGCGCUGCGCUCACCCGGCCACCGGAAGCCCCCUCCCCCCCUCCCCCGGGCCGGGCGCUGCUGGCGCGGGAGCUUUUUCUCUCAGACCCAGCGACUUUUGUGAUUUAGUUGGCCCUUGGGGGUGGGGGGGUGGGGGAAGAACCGCCCCUAGCAAACGCGGCAGGACAUCUAAGAGACUUUUCCUUCCCCAAGUUCACGCGUGCGCUUGAGCCGAGCCGCUUGGAGCAGCUUUGUGCCUGUGACCGGCCUUUUUUCUUACACUUUCCCCAGGAACUCGGGGCCCCGGAGAGCGGAAGCAAGGGGCUGAGAAAGCCCGGGGGAGGUGGGCAAGGGCGCGCCGCGGGGCAGCCUCCGGGGGGCACGUGUUUCCUGCGCUGGCCCGCAUUUCUGGAGAAGCUCGCGAUCCCUCCGCUCCAAGACAUGAUCUCUUUCCUCGAAAACCUCUCAUCAACUGUGGAAGUCUUGGUUCUUCUCAGCGGCCCAAAGCAAUCCCAAUGGACUUUGGACAGAAAAUGCCGUCUGCCCCCAGAGGGAGAACUAAGGAGACUGAGUGCGAAUCAGCACUCGCUGUGUGCACUUCUCUUUUCUGUGAUUUUCUCCCCACGCUUUCCCCCUUUUGCUCUGAUUUUUCUCUCCAACGUGAUUCAUGACACAAUGUGUGUUCAGAUAAACCACAAAAGAAAA